Molecule: small RNA, 342 nt
Filed under: Acinetobacter oleivorans
Lineage: Bacteria; Pseudomonadati; Pseudomonadota; Gammaproteobacteria; Moraxellales; Moraxellaceae
Description: cspA thermoregulator
Source: RNAcentral
UAUUUGCGCAGUUUUAUAUUUAUAAUCCUUCGGUUUUUUCAGAUAUUUAAGUUUUGACGUCUAUUUUUUAGUUAAAUUGGUUUUCUCCAAUAAUAAGUUAUAAUAUUUUAAGAUUCAGGAUAUAACAUAUGUCUACUACUACUGGUACAGUAAAAUGGUUCAAUGAGACUAAAGGGUUUGGUUUUAUUGUGACUCAAGAUGGUAAAGAUUUUUUUGCUCAUUUUACUGAUAUUCAAACACAAGGUUUUAAAGUUUUGUUGGAAGGUCAACGUGUUGAGUUUACCGUAGUACAAGGUAAAAAAGGCCCUCAAGCUUCAAAUAUUGUGAUUCUUCAAAACUCAU